GGAAGAGUAUCGCCCCCGGUGGGGUGCGCGGCCUUCAAAGCCGUUGAGACGCGACUACGUGUCUGGUGGGUUCGACUCCUACCUCUUCCGCCA
RNAcentral lists this transfer RNA (93 nucleotides) under OM182 bacterium. RNAcentral's name for it is "tRNA-Sec". It matches the Rfam family "Selenocysteine transfer RNA". Lineage: Bacteria; Pseudomonadati; Pseudomonadota; Gammaproteobacteria. The record is from RNAcentral.